This 1916-nucleotide long non-coding RNA is filed under the name Vigna radiata. RNAcentral describes it as "long non-coding RNA (VRAD_LNC006939)". Lineage: Eukaryota; Viridiplantae; Streptophyta; Magnoliopsida; Fabales; Fabaceae. The record is from RNAcentral.
ACAGAUCCAUUCUCUCAACCGUCAUCAUACAUUUGUUCUUCCUCACAUGAAGUUUCGAUUGGAGAAGGCAACAACAAUAUGGCUAAAGAGAGAAAGCAACAAGGGAACAAUCCCUCGCAUAAGGGCGAAGGCAUGGCCAAUUUUAGGUGGUCCCGGUAUCAUGGAGAGGCAGGUGGCGAAGUUGAGAUGUCACAUUUAAUAUGGAUGUGAGACUUGAAUAUUAUUGUUUGAUAAUUAGAGUGUAAUGUUUGAUUAUAAUUGUUAUAUUUAUUAAUUAAUGUUAUUGUUGAUUAAGUGGAACACAUGAUCAAUAUGUAAUUUUAGCGAUUUGUAUAUGUGUGAUAGUAUCAAUGUGUUGUGUUGGCUUGUUGAUAGAAGAGUAAAUUAGGAUUGAAUGGAUAUGAUUUCAAUUCUAUAAAGAAAACAAGUUAGGAGAAAUUUUUGUUUUAAUUGAAUUUUCGGUCCAACAGUAAAAGGGUAUUUUUGCCUUUAUUAAUUGGUGUAAAAAUUAAUAUAAGGAGUGUAGAAACUAAAAGAAUAAAAUUAAAAUCUAAAAUUAAAAGAUUAUGUUGAUCAUUGAGAGAUUUAGUGGUUAGUGGUAUUUUAAGAAGUAGAUAAGAUAAAAUAAGAGAGAAAAUUUUAGUGGUUUUAAAAGAUUAAGUGAGAGAUUUUAUUUUAACAAAAAAGAUAAAGAUAAAGUGAAAAAAGAUAAAAAGAGAAGAGGAAAAAGGAGUUACACAUGGUUACCCUAAAUUUGAAAAUGAAAUUGAGAGUGAUAAGGGAGAAAAAAGACGUUUUCUAGGAGAAAAAGAGAAAGAGUUGUAGAAAACCUUAGUGCAAGGGAUGAUUCUUGAUGUUUUUGAAGUUAGAUAAAGCCCUAGUACUGACCAAUGUAUGUGAAAGCUUACCUUUGUUUGUUUUCUUAUUUGUUUGUAUGAUGAAUAAGGUUUGCUUUAGAUUAUCUUGAAAGGUAAUGUUGUUUUGAUGCAUGUGGAUGCAUGAGAAUAUGUUUUGAAUGGUGAUAGGGUUAUAUCAUGGUUAUGUUGGGUUUUCCCUAUGAAUGUAUGUAUGGUUUUACUCGGUUAUCCCAUAUUAGGGUUUAAUGCUAAGGGGGAAACAAAGUUGUGUGGGGGUGAAUGUGUCUUCCUUGUCCUAGUGUGGUAGGGUUACACAUUUCUUAGCUGGAUUGCGGGACUGCUCGAGCGUAUUUGUAUGGAGAAUUUAUAGAUGAGAAUGUAGGAGCGGCUACAGUUGGUGAUGUAAGGUACAAGAGUGUGACUGAUUCUUUCCACUAUGGUGUUAUGGUAUGGUGAUGCUCAUGGUGUUGUUCAUGACUGGGAUAGUCAUGAUGGUCGGGGUAUCUAUGAUGAUGAUCAUGUUUGAGAAGUUGUAUGUGAUACUAUGUGAUAGCGGUGUUACUGUAAUAGUUAUAGUAAGUAGUUAACAUAGGUGUUAAUGAGUGGAUAUAUGUGUGAGAUGUUAGUGAUGACAUCAAGGGUUAGAGAUUAAGGAUCGAGGAUCGAGGAUCGACUAAUUCAUUGUGAUUGAAUUGUUUAUGUUAAAGGAUUAAGAAUUCUAUUGUUAUUACUACUAUGUAUGGGGUGUUUGAUUAUUGUUGAUAUAAUCAAUAUGUUUAUACCCUGUUAUUAUGAUUGCUUUCCCGAUAGCUUACCUCAUAUGUGUUUGUCUCUGUGUGUUGUGAAUGAUAUUAUUGGCGAUGAUUAUAUAAUGUGUUACACAUGAGUAGAUGAUGUCGCAGAUGAUGUCGCAGAUGAUGCUGAGGUAUGAUAGAUUCGAGAGAUGACAAUGCACAAACUUGGGAUUUUAUUUAAAGUUAUUACGUUUGAACAAUGUAAUUAAAGUCAUUUUAUUUUCUUCGUUAUUUCAUUGGACACAUGUUUUAGAACCAUUAUGUU